RNAcentral lists this ribosomal RNA (420 nucleotides) under uncultured bacterium. RNAcentral's name for it is "bacterial SSU rRNA". It matches the Rfam family "Bacterial small subunit ribosomal RNA", at positions 355 to 774 of the family's 1533-position model. The record is from RNAcentral.
UAAGGAAUAUUGCUCAAUGGGAGAAAUCCUGAAGCAGCAACGCCGCGUGGAGGAUGAAGGGUCUAUGACUUGUAAACUCCUGUAAAGAAGGAAAAAAUUCCCAUUAGAUGGGAGAUGAUGGUACUUCUGGAGUAAGCCCCGGCUAACUACGUGCCAGCAGCCGCGGUAAUACGUAGGGGGCAAGCGUUGUCCGGAUUUACUGGGUGUAAAGGGUGCUCAGGCGGAUUUGUAAGUCAGAGGUGAAAUCUUACAGCUUAACUGUGAAACUGCCUUUGAUACUGCAAGGCUAGAGUAUGGAAGAGAGUGAUGGAAUAUCUGGUGUAGCAGUGAAAUGCGUAGAUAUCAGAUAGAACACCAAUGGCGAAGGCAGUCACUUGGUCCAUUACUGACGCUAAAGCACGAAAGCGUGGGUAGCAAACA